AUAAAAAACUAGAUGUUAGACAUAUAAGGUAGUGAAAACUUGUGAAAAUUUGCAAUCAUGAACAGUCAUGUCAUGUUAGACAUAAAAAACUAGAUGUUAGACAUAUAAGGUAGUGAAAACUUGAGAAAAAUGUGCCUAC
This is a non-coding RNA of Jatropha curcas, 139 nucleotides long. NCBI's taxonomy places the organism in Eukaryota, Viridiplantae, Streptophyta, Magnoliopsida, Malpighiales, Euphorbiaceae. The record is from RefSeq and is a predicted model, not a curated record.